This is a non-coding RNA of Camelina sativa (false flax), 925 nucleotides long. NCBI's taxonomy places the organism in Eukaryota, Viridiplantae, Streptophyta, Magnoliopsida, Brassicales, Brassicaceae. The record is from RefSeq and is a predicted model, not a curated record.
GGUUUCUUAUAUGUUUUUUCUAAUAUUCCAUUGGGAACAGAACGAGAGGAACGAUUCUCCCCAUGCCCUGGAUGACCAUCCUGCGGAGUAGAGAGAGGCCUCCCCCAUUAGCUAGACAACCAUCCUUAAAUGACCCAUCUGCUGCAAACUCCACACCGAGGAGGAAGCCAUGGAUAUUCAAACUGAACACAGGUUCACCAACAGGGGUAGCAAGGAAGCUUAGGCCUGGCCAAGUGAACAUAGAUGGAGGAACAUUUUUUAAGUAGAAUGGCAUAGUCUUGAUCUCCGGCUGAGCGUUCUCAGCUACCGGAGUCCACUUCGAAACGAUCAUCGGCAAAUCACAGAGAUAUUCCACAUGCCCCUACGCAGAACUUGAGACCUUACAGGGAAACAGCCCACAAGGAAAUCCUCCCACAAAGGAACUUAAUCUUGCAAUACUUCGUCAGGAACAACCACCAUGGCUUUACCAUCAACCACUUGGACAUUAACAACAAAUUUUGAAAGACUCGGCCUCCCGACUGUAGUAGCAUACAACUUUUGGGGUGGAACAAGUACAGAUCCCACCUCAGCUGGACUUCCCACCGCCAUGGAGCCGUCUCCAGCCACCACCGACAUGGCGUGCAGGCGGCUAGCCGCUAGACUCUUCCCACAGAAACGAAAACCCUAAUCGCACCCUUCUUAUCGCCUUUGCUCUGCUAUGCUGAUCGCCUUUCCUUCAGUAGUAUUUAUUUACAUCAUCACUUUGAGUCAAAAGUAAAAAUAUAUGCAACUUGUAAAAGACAUAACUUAAUGAAACACUACUAAAAAGAAAUUAAAUUACCAGAAUUUUCGAGAAUUUCAUUUGUAUAUCCCGGAGGGUACAUAUCGUACCAGAUGUGUGUAAAACAGAGUUCUUUUAUUCUUUACUUACAUGUCGUACCCUCAA